This 254-nucleotide long non-coding RNA is filed under the name Capsicum annuum. RNAcentral describes it as "long non-coding RNA (CANN_LNC017593)". The record is from RNAcentral. Lineage: Eukaryota; Viridiplantae; Streptophyta; Magnoliopsida; Solanales; Solanaceae.
UAGGGGGUUACACUGGACCCAUAUAGCCCGCGGGUGUUUAAGGACGGUUAAGCUACACAUACCCAGGUUAAUGGUUUCAAAUGCAUGCUAAACCCGGUUCCCUUCCCCGGCAUAGUGUGAUAUAUAUAUGUGUGUGUGUGUAUUUCUGUAGUUUGUAUGCAUAUGGUUGGUUUACUUAGUUUUACUGGAUGGCAUUAAUUUAUCCUUAUCCUGAGUUCAUGCUAGCGUUCACCUGGUAACCUAUCUUCGGGCAG